Molecule: ribosomal RNA, 468 nt
Filed under: uncultured bacterium
Lineage: Bacteria
Description: partial 16S ribosomal RNA
Rfam family: Bacterial small subunit ribosomal RNA
Source: RNAcentral
GACGAACGCUGGCGGCGUGCUUAACACAUGCAAGUCGAACGGAAAGGCCCUGCUUUUGUGGGGUGCUCGAGUGGCGAACGGGUGAGUAACACGUGAGUAACCUGCCCUUGACUUUGGGAUAACUUCAGGAAACUGGGGCUAAUACCGGAUAGGAGCUCCUGCUGCAUGGUGGGGGUUGGAAAGUUUCGGCGGUCGGGGAUGGACUCGCGGCUUAUCAGCUUGUUGGUGGGGUAGUGGCUUACCAAGGCUUUGACGGGUAGCCGGCCUGGGAGGGUGACCGGCCACAUUGGGACUGAGAUACGGCCCAGACUCCUACGGGAGGCAGCAGUGGGGAAUAUUGCACAAUGGGCGGAAGCCGGAUGCAGAAACGCCGCGUGCGGGAUGACGGCCUUCGGGUUGUAAACCGCUUUCGCCUGUGACGAAGCGUGAGUGACGGUAAUGGGUAAAGAAGCACCGGCUAACUACGUG